This 492-nucleotide ribosomal RNA is filed under the name uncultured bacterium. RNAcentral's name for it is "bacterial SSU rRNA". It matches the Rfam family "Bacterial small subunit ribosomal RNA", at positions 16 to 518 of the family's 1533-position model. The record is from RNAcentral.
AUUCUGGCUCAGGACGAACGCUGGCGGCGUGCUUAACACAUGCAAGUCGAGCGGAGAAUAUAGCAAUAUAUUCUUAGCGGCGGACGGGUGAGUAACGCGUGGGUAACCUGCCUUUUUACUGGGGGAUAACACUGGGAAACUAGUGCUAAUACCGCAUAAAAUAGUGAAGUGGCAUCACUUUACUAUCAAAGGAGCAAUCCGGUAAAAGAUGGACCCGCGUCCGAUUAGCUAGUUGGAGGGGUAACGGCCCACCAAGGCGACGAUCGGUAGCCGAACUGAGAGGUUGAUCGGCCACAUUGGGACUGAGACACGGCCCAGACUCCUACGGGAGGCAGCAGUGGGGAAUAUUGCGCAAAAGUCGGGGGAAACCCUGACGCAGCAACGCCGGCGUGAAGGAUGUAAGGUUUUCGGAUUGUAAACUUCUUUGAGUUGGGGACGAUAAUGACGGUAACCCAAAAAACAAGCCACGGCUAACUACGUGCCAGCCGCUGC